GACAGAGGAUGCAAGCGUUAUCCGGAAUGAUUGGGCGUAAAGCGUCCGCAGGUGGCUGUGUAAGUCUGCUGUUAAAGAGUCUAGCUCAACUAGGUAAGAGCAGUGGAAACUACACGGCUAGAGUACGUUCGGGGCAGAGGGAAUUCCUGGUGUAGCGGUGAAAUGCGUAGAGAUCAGGAAGAACACCGGUGGCGAAGGCGGUUCUCUAGUACGGUACUGACGCUGAGACGCGAAAGCGUGGGGAGCGAACAGG
This 253-nucleotide ribosomal RNA is filed under the name uncultured bacterium. RNAcentral's name for it is "partial 16S ribosomal RNA". It matches the Rfam family "Bacterial small subunit ribosomal RNA", at positions 524 to 776 of the family's 1533-position model. The record is from RNAcentral.